Molecule: long non-coding RNA, 460 nt
Organism: Delphinapterus leucas (beluga whale)
Lineage: Eukaryota; Metazoa; Chordata; Mammalia; Artiodactyla; Monodontidae
Source: RefSeq, a predicted model, not a curated record
AAGGGGUUUCUCAUGCCUCAGUAAACAACUACUCUAUUGCCUUAUGAUGAGCUCUGAACAACCUACACAGGAUUAUCUAUAACCUUAACUGUCUUUACAAGGAAAGAGUUAGACCUCCCAUGUUUUGUGUGUGCCAGCUGGGCCACUGAGCCUUCCCAAGAAGGCCUCCUCUUGCAGUGAAAAGGCACAGACCUCCGAGAGAGUCAGACCUUGGUUCAAAUCCUUCCUCUGCCGUUGGCCACCAGUGACUUUGACAAAGCCACACAGAUAUUUCGGCAAUAAAGUUCCUGAAAUUCCACGUCGCUGUGAAGCUUUUUUUCAGAAUUAGAUCUGGAUCAUCCAGCCAAGAGUGUAGGAGAAGGUUUGCAAGAAUUGGAAGGAAAGGGCUUCCCUGCUGGCGCAGUGGUUGAGAGUCCGCCUGCCAAUGCAGGGGACAUGAGUUCGUGCCCCGGUCUGGGAA